CAUGCAAGUCGAGGGGUAACAUAGUUUGCUUGCAAACUGAUGACGACCGGCGCACGGGUGCGGAACGCGUAUGGAACCUGCCCUUGUCAGGGGAAUAGCCCAGGGAAACUUGGAUUAAUGCCCCAUGGUACCACGACAUCGCAUGAUGAUGUGGUUAAAGAUUUAUCGGACAAGGAUGGCCAUGCGUACCAUUAGUUAGUUGGUGGGGUAACGGCCCACCAAGGCAGCGAUGGUUAGGGGCCCUGAGAGGGGGAUCCCCCACACUGGUACUGAGACACGGACCAGACUCCUACGGGAGGCAGCAGUGAGGAAUAUUGGACAAUGGGCGGGAGCCUGAUCCAGCCAUGCCGCGUGCAGGAUGACGGCCCUAUGGGUUGUAAACUGCUUUUAUACGGGAAGAAACGCACCUACGUGUAGGUGUCUGACGGUACCGUAAGAAUAAGGACCGGCUAACUCCGUGCCAGCAGCCGCGGUAAUACGGAGGGUCCGAGCGUUAUCCGGAAUCAUUGGGUUUAAAGGGUCCGUAGGCGGGCCUGUAAGUCAGGGGUGAAAGUUUGUGGCUCAACCAUAAAAUUGCCUUUGAUACUGCAGGUCUUGAGUCAUGGUGGGGUCGCCGGAACAUGUGGUGUAGCGGUGAAAUGCAUAGAUAUCACAUAGAACACCGAUCGCGAAGGCAGGUGACCAACCAUGUACUGACGCUGAUGGACGAAAGCGUGGGUAGCGAACGGGAUUAGAUACCCCGGUAGUCCACGCCGUAAACGAUGGAUACUAGCUGUGGGGACUUCGGUCUCCGUGGCCAAGCGAAAGUGAUAAGUAUCCCACCUGGGGAGUACGUUCGCAAGAAUGAAACUCAAAGGAAUUGACGGGGGCCCGCACAAGCGGUGGAGCAUGUGGUUUAAUUCGAUGAUACGCGAGGAACCUUACCAGGGCUUAAAUGCAGGCUGCAUGGGGUGGAGACACCCCUUUCUUCGGACUGCCUGCAAGGUGCUGCAUGGUUGUCGUCAGCUCGUGCCGUGAGGUGUCAGGUUAAGUCCUAUAACGAGCGCAACCCCUACCGUUAGUUGCCAGCAUGUAAAGAUGGGGACUCUAG
RNAcentral lists this ribosomal RNA (1090 nucleotides) under Allomuricauda sp. RNAcentral's name for it is "bacterial SSU rRNA". It matches the Rfam family "Bacterial small subunit ribosomal RNA", at positions 54 to 1143 of the family's 1533-position model. Lineage: Bacteria; Pseudomonadati; Bacteroidota; Flavobacteriia; Flavobacteriales; Flavobacteriaceae. The record is from RNAcentral.